CCAAAAAUUACCACAAAAUUUGCAUCUCAACACACACUUAUCUUAGAAAAUGAACAUGGGUCAAUAAUCAGGGCAUGAGCUAUUUUGAUUGUUUUAAGAACAUCUGGUGAAUGGUCAUUUAUUCAGGAAAAAAAUCUAGUUAACAUCAGAAAGAAACUCAAAAGUCUACACAGCUGAGUCAUGGCUUGCUCACUUCUCAAGAUCUGCUCAUUACAUGUAGACUCUCAGGAAUUUCCUCAUCCCCAAUACCUAAUCUGUGACUGCCAGUGACCCAGGAAGUGUUUCUCAUCUCAGUCACACAGCCCUGUGUUGCAGAGGCUUUGUUCAAGGUAUCAGUAAUAGGAGCCCAAAUUCUCCAUCUUGGGGGACCCACUCAGGAUCAAAGGCUGUGCCCCAUGCACAGCAGAUAGAGAAUGUGAAAGGCACAUAUGAGGGACACAAUGAGAAGCCCAAGGCUUCCUGCCUCUCCUUCCUCUAAGCCCACUAGAGAAGAUCUCAGCACCAGGUCUGCCAUUAACUCACUACAGAGCCUUGGAAAGUUGUGGGACCUUGAAAUCCCCACCACUGCAAGACAGAAUGUUGCUGGGCCCAACCAGAUGCAGGGUUCAGCGAACUUUGCAGAAGAAGAGGAAGAAAGAUUCUAAGAGCCAACAGGGAUGGAAAACACCAAGGACAAUGCUUCCCAGAUACAACAGGACUGACCACAUAUGAACUCAAAGACAGUGGCAGCUGCAGAGAGCCUGCACAGGUCCAAACCAGAAGGGGCACCAGGAGGAAGUGGACAUGAGCUCCCACCCCUAAGCAAGAAGAUAACUCCAAUUAUCAAACGGUUGCAAAGGAAAAAAAUGUUUUCCAAUGAAGUCUCGCUGGGUAUAAAAAAAAAAAUUCACUUAAGGGCAUUUUUGGAGAUCUUUUUGUGUCAUAAUCCUUUGUCUGGGCCUUUCUUUUUUAACCUUAGUGGUCUUAUGCUCAUAUGUUAUUGUUUCUGAUUUUGUUUUUAUGUUUAUUUCUGUGUGUCUCUACAGGUAAAAAAGCUUCUCUUGCUUUUCCUAAUUUUGUUUUCUCAUUGUUUUGCUCUAGUCUGGUCUGGUUUUUGUUUGGUUGGUUUUUGUCUGUUUUUUAAAGAGCAAAAGAAGGCAUGGAGUUAGAUGGGUAUGGAGGCAGGGAGGAUCUGGGAGAUGAGGGAGAGGAAACUGGUCAGAAUACAUUGUAUGAAAUACACUAUUUUCUAUAAUAAAAAAACAAGAUUUUAAGAGCUGAAUGUUUCUGUGAAGAAGCUUCUCUGAUGAGGGUCAAGUGAUGCUCUCAUCUGGGUCCCAGCCUAGUGUGGCAGCUGUAGGUCCUGGUAGAUACAGGCUCUGUGAGUUGGCUGAGUCACAAGGGACUGAAAGGGGGAUAGAAGAAUAGGCUAAGAGGGGUC
This 1420-nucleotide long non-coding RNA is filed under the name Cricetulus griseus (Chinese hamster). Its description in RNAcentral is "lncRNA (ENSCGRG00015033934.1)". The record is from RNAcentral. Lineage: Eukaryota; Metazoa; Chordata; Mammalia; Rodentia; Cricetidae.